CGGGUCCGACCUCCCAACCCCAUGUCAUCCGACACUGUUGCCUCGGGGGCGACCCGGCCUCUUCUGGCGUCGGGGCCCCCGGUGGAUUGUCAAACGCUGCAUCUGUGCGUCUGAGUCAGAUGAUGAAUCAAUCAAAACUUUCAACAACGGAUCUCUUGGUUCUGGUAUCGAUGAAGAACGCAGCGAAAUGCGAUAAGUAAUGUGAAUUGCAGAAUUCAGUGAAUCAUCGAAUCUUUGAACGCACAUUGCGCCCUCUGGUAUUCCGGGGGGCAUGCCUGUUCGAGCGUCAUUACACCAGUCCAGCCUCGCUGGGUCUUGGGCGUCGCGGCCCGCCGCGCGCCCCAAUGUCUCCGGCUGAGCCGUCCGUCUCGAAGCGUUGUGGCAACCCAAAUCGCUUGCGGGAUCGGAGGGUUUGACGCCGUCCAAACACACCACACCAGGUUGACCUCGGAUCAGGUAGGGAUACCCGCUGAACUUAA
Molecule: ribosomal RNA, 479 nt
Filed under: uncultured Ascomycota
Lineage: Eukaryota; Fungi; Ascomycota
Description: eukaryotic LSU rRNA
Rfam family: 5.8S ribosomal RNA (bases 136-289)
Source: RNAcentral